Molecule: long non-coding RNA, 562 nt
Filed under: Equus caballus (horse)
Lineage: Eukaryota; Metazoa; Chordata; Mammalia; Perissodactyla; Equidae
Description: lncRNA (ENSECAG00000059031.1)
Source: RNAcentral
GGAAGUGAGUCAUAUCACAUUGGCACUUCUGUCUCCUCCUGUGCACUUUGGUAACCUCCUCAGCCAGAGAAAGCACACUGGUUCUUAAAUGAAAGUAAUUUUAAUAACAAUAACACUAACGGUUUUAGUAACAAUACAGAGUAGGUUCAUUCCUGUAGCACUUUUGUUUCCCAAGGCCAACUUCUCAUGGACCGUCUCUGGACCAGGCUGCCCUUGUCCAUUAAUGGCAAGGUCUCCAGGAGGACAGGGCACCACAAAGGUAUCCAAAUUCCUACGGCCAGUCAGACUGUUUAGAAGGUCGCAUCUCUUCAGGAAAUCGUCAAAAUAUUCGUCCUUCAGAUGCAAGUCAAACUUUUUCAGGACUGAAAUGACAUCUUCCUUUCCAACCUCCAAGAGAGAGAAAGAGAGAUCAGACGGCUACUUUACAAAGUUUCCACCUAAAUCACAGGUGGGCCCUAAUCCAGUAUGAGUGGUGGCUUUAUGAGAAGAGGAGAUUAGGACACAGACACACAGAGAGAAGACCAAGUGAAGACACAAGGAGCAGACCCGUCUACAAACCAAG